This is a long non-coding RNA of Peromyscus eremicus (cactus mouse), 837 nucleotides long. RefSeq lists it as uncharacterized. The record is from RefSeq and is a predicted model, not a curated record. NCBI's taxonomy places the organism in Eukaryota, Metazoa, Chordata, Mammalia, Rodentia, Cricetidae. The transcript is spliced from 5 exons.
CAGGGGUCUAUCCCUAGUGACUUCAUUGCUGAUCUCGUCUCUUCUCUCAAGAUCUUUCAGCUGGCAGCUCAUGUGCCCGGCUUCCUUCCAUAGCUCUCAAAAGCAAGAAAAAAGUCUCCUUGUCCAUCUCUUCUAUGAUCAGAUAACUACUCACAAAACCACUCAGCUCCCGGAAGUUCCCAUUCACACCUGCCAAUCACUGGGCUGGAAAUGAGGACGCCGACUGGGAACGGGAGUGAUCUGGCUGUCAGUGUGUUUCUUCAGAAAUCAAAGUUGGCUCAUUGGCGCUAUCAUCAAAAUACUAAAGGUCCCAGGAGCUGUUAAAAUGGCUUGGUCCAGUUAUGCAACCAUGAAGAGAAGCAGCUGGACUCCUGGGGACGUUUCUAUAGCACCUUCUCUAGGGACAGAGGGAUUCACUCCUUCACCACAGCCCUGGCCCCUGGGGACAACGCAGCUCUUGUGAGGCGGCCAGCACAUAGUCCAACCAUUGCUGUUACCAGGAUACAGUCAUCUACCUAAGGAGAAGAAUUGAGGGUUCCAAGACUGCAUGUGGCUCAGCCCUACCUGGGUCUUGGCAGGGCCAUCGAUCAGCAAUGCACGACUUACUCGGUAGAACAAAUCAUGGACUCGGCACAUGAGUGCGUCUUCGGAAGUCUCCACAAGAAGAAAACAGAAAGGAGUUGCUUCCCCUGCCAGUACAAAUGCCACUCAGCACCCAAGCACGGAGAAAUGUGAUGGAAAUCGCAUCUGCAGAAAAGUGUGCUGUUAGUGGAUUAGCCAGGCUGACCUAUUCUUUCAAGCUAUUCAGAGAAAUAACAGUCAUUUAUAGCGAUUUUA